UACAGCAGAACUUUGAUGAAGAUUGAA
RNAcentral lists this non-coding RNA (27 nucleotides) under Homo sapiens (human). The record is from RNAcentral. RNAcentral also lists the same sequence under 1 other name. Lineage: Eukaryota; Metazoa; Chordata; Mammalia; Primates; Hominidae.